Molecule: long non-coding RNA, 863 nt
Filed under: Monodelphis domestica (gray short-tailed opossum)
Lineage: Eukaryota; Metazoa; Chordata; Mammalia; Didelphimorphia; Didelphidae
Description: lncRNA (ENSMODG00000048034.1)
Source: RNAcentral
CCCGGCUGCGCCCCGCUAACUCGACACCCACACACUACCUUUUUUCAGAUGCGGCCGCGACAGCCACUGGACCUAGGAGAGCGCUCGGACGCCAUGUUGGCUUCCGGCAAAGCUCUCCGCAAAGGUUCUACGCACGCGCAAUGACGCGCCGAACACCGACGUCUCACGAAACGCAUGCGCGCCUGAAACUCCACAAACUACCCGCUCCUUACUUCUCCGGCACCAUAGGGCGUAUUGAGCAUCUGAAAGGAACAUCUUCCGCCUGUGUCAGCAUUUCCCAUUGUUCUGGAGGUGGGUACCCCAAUCUUUCUCUAAGCAUCUCUGAGUCUACCACAAUCCCUUAUUUUUAGAAAGCUGUGUCCCAACCAUCUGGAGGGAGAAGUCCCUCCCUUUCAUUACUGCACACCUAGAAGAGAAACUUGUCAUCCAUACUAUUCAGUUAUUGUUAUUUAUUAUCAUCAUUAAUACUAUUGUAAUUUAAUAACAAGACACAUUUGUCUUCAAUUUUUUCUUAAUAGUCGGUUUUUCUGCUUUCUUCAACCAUCCUGUUUACCAAAUGAAAAAUAUAAGUUACUCUUAAAGGGACAGGAUGAGGGGCGGAGAGAGGCUGAGUAGGUGAGACUUACUUAGGUGGAAUCAUGUGUACGAUCAAUCCAAACUCGCCAUGUGAACCACAACCACUGUAUUUAUAGUGCAGUGAAUCUUCUAUAGAGAUGAAAAGUCCCAACACCAGAAAGCAGUGCUGCAUGGUGAAUAAUCCGAAGACAGAAAAACCACCAAAGGGUAUUCUUUGAAGAAAAAUACCUACUUGGCCCAUGAAGGAUCUGACCACAUAUCAUUAUGAGUCAUAGUAAAAUCGUUCC